Molecule: ribosomal RNA, 430 nt
Filed under: Pseudomonadota bacterium
Lineage: Bacteria; Pseudomonadati; Pseudomonadota
Description: Proteobacteria bacterium partial 16S ribosomal RNA
Rfam family: Bacterial small subunit ribosomal RNA
Source: RNAcentral
UGGGGAAUAUUGGACAAUGGGGGGAACCCUGAUCCAGCCAUGCCGCGUGUGUGAAGAAGGCCUUAUGGUUGUAAAGCACUUUAAGCGAGGAGGAGGGUACUGGUAUUAAUACUACCAGGUACUGGACGUUACUCGCAGAAUAAGCACCGGCUAACUCUGUGCCAGCAGCCGCGGUAAUACAGAGGGUGCGAGCGUUAAUCGGAUUUACUGGGCGUAAAGCGUGCGUAGGCGGCUAAUUGAGUCGGAUGUGAAAUCCCCGAGCUUAACUUGGGAAUUGCAUUCGAUACUGGUUAGCUAGAGUGUGGGAGAGGAUGGUAGAAUUCCAGGUGUAGCGGUGAAAUGCGUAGAGAUCUUGAGGAAUACCGAUGGCGAAGGCAGCCAUCUGGCCUAACACUGACGCUGAGGUACGAAAGCAUGGGGAGCAAACAGG